This 652-nucleotide long non-coding RNA is filed under the name Equus caballus (horse). RNAcentral's name for it is "lncRNA (ENSECAG00000046172.1)". Lineage: Eukaryota; Metazoa; Chordata; Mammalia; Perissodactyla; Equidae. The record is from RNAcentral.
AGCACGCCACUGCUGACCGAGCAGCCUUAGACGUCACUCCUGGGUUACCUGUGGCAGGUGUCUAUGAUAAGGAGAGCACAGUGAAACAGACAGGCUUCGAGGGAGGUUCCCAGCUUGCUUCCCCAGGGUUCUAACGCACUUCUCUGCCUCUCUGUGAGGGAGUACACUUUGCUGCUUUUCCUCAUUCGCCCUACCCACUCUUUGGCCUCUCAUCUCCACUGUGGGGUUUCUUCCCAGGCACACUUCUGUUACUGCCUUCUCUGUUUCCGUUUCUGUGUCGAUUUACUCCUCUGUAUCCCUCUGUGUCUGUGAUCCAAAGAGAGAGGAAGGUCAGUGGGUGUGGCACUCACUGGCCAAUGUCGGAGCACCCAGAGGGCCUUGGGCAUGGAUCUCUCGUUCAAUCACUUGUGGCCCGAGUGACAGGAUCAUAGGACAGACAGUACCCAGAGUCCCCCGGUGCAUAGUUGUGUAUUCUAGUUGUGAGUGCCUCUGGUUGUGCUGUGUGGGAUGCUGCCUCAGCAUGGCCUGAUGAGUGGUGCCGUGUCCGCGCCGAGGAUCCGAACCAGCGAAACCCUGGGCCGCCAAAGUGGAGCGCACGAACUUAACCACUCGGCCACGGGGCCAGUCCUGAGAUCUUUUAUAAUGAAUAAAG